RNAcentral lists this microRNA (21 nucleotides) under Oryza sativa (Asian cultivated rice). RNAcentral describes it as "osa-miR5147". Lineage: Eukaryota; Viridiplantae; Streptophyta; Magnoliopsida; Poales; Poaceae. RNAcentral also lists the same sequence under 1 other name. The record is from miRBase by way of RNAcentral.
ACAACUCUUGUGGAUGGAGGG